RNAcentral lists this ribosomal RNA (468 nucleotides) under uncultured bacterium. Its description in RNAcentral is "partial 16S ribosomal RNA". It matches the Rfam family "Bacterial small subunit ribosomal RNA", at positions 28 to 507 of the family's 1533-position model. The record is from RNAcentral.
GACGAACGCUGGCGGCGCGCCUAACACAUGCAAGUCGAACGGAGGCACGAGGAUCUUGCUUUUCUUGACUUAGUGGCGGACGGGUGAGUAACGCGUGUCUACCCUGCCCUGGGGUAGGGGGUAACAGUUGGGAACCACUUCUAGUACCGGAUAAGCGGGCGGAUCCGCGUGGACUUGCGAGAUAAGGAUUUAGUCGCUUCAGGAUUGACUCGCGUCAACUUAGCGAGUGGGGGCGUUAACAGCCGACCAAGGCGACGACUGCCAGCCGGGAUGAGAGGUAGAGCGGCCACAUUGGGACUGAGACACGGCCCAGACUCCUACGGGAGGCAGGAGUGGGUGAUAUUGCACAACGGGGUAAAUCCUGAUGCAGCGCCGCCGCGUGGAGGAAGAAGGUUUGCGGAUUGUAAAGUACUGUCGUUAGGGACGAUAAUGACGGUACCUAACAAGAAAGCACCGGCUAACUACGUG